Long non-coding RNA from Triticum aestivum (bread wheat), 324 nucleotides. RefSeq lists it as uncharacterized. The record is from RefSeq and is a predicted model, not a curated record. NCBI's taxonomy places the organism in Eukaryota, Viridiplantae, Streptophyta, Magnoliopsida, Poales, Poaceae. The transcript has 3 exons.
GUGGUGCUUGUGGUGCCCGACGCUGACGUCGUGCUCGUGGUGCCCGACGCCUGCUGCUUCAGUCAUUCAUUCAGAGGAGUAUCAUCUGCGUGUCCGAUGUGGAAUUGCAUGUUUUGGAGUCUUGUUUGGAAUUAAGAGUACUGGAGCUCACCAACUACAUCUUGCCCGGGAUCGAUGCCCUCUUCCUCUUCCAUGUUCAUAUCAUCUUGGAGUACUGCCUAUUCUGAAGUUGGUGCAAUGGAGCCUGGAGCUGCACCUUCUGGACCUGGAGCCUGUUCAGGUACUGCCACAGUAUAAGUUUAUGCAACAUCAAGCUCUGUAGUA